CACGAUUCUAACAACUAUUAACAAAUGACCUUAAAAUAUUCAGUCCUUCUUUCAACUACCUCUCCUGCGAUGAUGAUGUGUGAAAGUAACAGGGAUUUGUCGUUAAUCAAUAAAAAGCAAAUAACAUACCAUUAAAGGGCCUGUCACUGCAAUGAAAACACUGCCUUUUCUGAGAAAAAACAGUGUUUAUAUUGCUGCUUAAGGCAAUAACUCGUACAUCCACUAGAGAGACUUCCUGGACAAGGUCUUGCGAAGAAUGCAGGAACAGCAUUCAUCUCCAUGCUAUGCACAUAGACUUCAAACAAUCCCUAUAGAGAUGUACUGAGCCAAUGCAUCUUUAUGAGGAGAUGCUGAUUGGCCAUGCAUGUGCAUUAGUCUCCCAAAGCUUCCCUUUGAGAAACAAAGGAUUGGCUGAGAUCAUCAGGAUUGGUGAUUUUAGCCAGUAGAGGCAGGGCAAUGGUGACAAGACCGGCAUGCUGGGAGAAAAAGGGUAAGAAAAUCUAUUUAUUUACUUACUUCUGGGGUUACCAAUAAUCCCAAUAGAUAUAUUACUAGAGUAUCCCUUUUAGCACUGUUACACCAAAAAACAUACUAAAAAUAGGUAACAAAACAAAUACUAUAUACACUAUAGCUAAAAUAUUUGAUCUGAACAUGUGUAAAGUAACAUUGCAUAAAUAUCAAUGUUUAUUUUGAACAUAACAGUUUGAUGACAUGCGUCAUCACUACUCUAAUAAAGUGAUGAGACAGGCAGUUGAGGUCAUUUCAUAUUUCGUCCAUUUCGUUUGUUAUUAACCUUCAGAAUAAUUCUGGUUUUAAAGAGUUCCUCCAACCACCAUUACCACUACAGCCCGCUGGAACAACCAUACCAUACCGGACAUUUUGUGUGAUUUGUUUGAUUUUGUUCUGAGCAGGAAGGUCUCUCCACACCCUGUUAUCGAUGUCUUCCGGGUGUCUCUCAAGUUCCAGGAGCACCUGGCCUUGUCUUGUUAGUGCUGUGUCUGCCUGUUGUCUUGCCACUAUGAGGUCUCUUCUAAGUUUUCCAUAUGGGCAUCUAGCCCUGUUACAUCGCUACGAAAAUCUGACAGUUUCUGAUUAAUGGUGUCCUUUAUUUCUAGUAACAUAGCAGUUAAGUAAUCCUUAGUUAGCAUUGAUCAGAAGAUCGUGCGUAAGUCUGCGCAAAUAGCUUCCAAGAAUGAGGUCAUUGUCGCUCGUAUUUGGUGGCCUUGUUGAGACGAGCCUGCUUUCUUCAAGGCCUCCAAUUCAGGAGGAUGGUGCAGUUUUUUCUGAGGCUGCGGAUCCAACCAACGCUGAUGGCGUGGACAGGAAUUUGUCCAUCAAUUGAGACUGAGGUGUGUUCGCCUGAGACUUGUGUAUGGUACUUGUUCUGCAAUUUUGGAACAUACUUAAGGGAUGAUCGGGAUGCUUCAGCUGUUUAGUAUUGGGUAGGGCUGAGGAGUUCGCUUACUGCACAUCUUGCUCAGCUGCCAUCCAGGCCACAAACCCAUGAUUCUUAUCAUCCGACAACAUUCUUUCAACAGCUAGGAGCAACAAUAAAAAAAAAAAAAAUACUGAUAUCUAUAUAUAUGCUGUUGUGAUAAGCCAGCCAGAGGUGAAUAGGAGGAAUCUGCCACUUAUAACCUUUGUGUUUUAUGCAGAAACUGACGAUUACCUAAACACAAAGAAAGGUGAAAGCAGCCUAUUAUUAUUUACUAAAUGCAAUGGUAG
This 1725-nucleotide long non-coding RNA is filed under the name Pelobates cultripes (western spadefoot toad). Lineage: Eukaryota; Metazoa; Chordata; Amphibia; Anura; Pelobatidae. The record is from RNAcentral.